AGGAAUCUGCCUAUUAAUGGGGGACAACAUCUCGAAAGGGAUGCUAAUACCGCAUACGCCCUACGGGGGAAAGCAGGGGAUCACUUGUGACCUUGCGUUAAUAGAUGAGCCUAAGUCGGAUUAGCUAGUUGGUGGGGUAAAGGCCUACCAAGGCGACGAUCUGUAGCGGGUCUGAGAGGAUGAUCCGCCACACUGGGACUGAGACACGGCCCAGACUCCUACGGGAGGCAGCAGUGGGGAAUAUUGGACAAUGGGGGGAACCCUGAUCCAGCCAUGCCGCGUGUGUGAAGAAGGCCUUAUGGUUGUAAAGCACUUUAAGCGAGGAGGAGGCUCUCUUGGUUAAUACCCAAGAUGAGUGGACGUUACUCGCAGAAUAAGCACCGGCUAACUCUGUGCCAGCAGCCGCGGUAAUACAGAGGGUGCGAGCGUUAAUCGGAUUUACUGGGCGUAGAGCGUGCGUAGGCGGCUUUUUAAGUCGGAUGUGAAAUCCCCGAGCUUAACUUGGGAAUUGCAUUCGAUACUGGGAAGCUAGAGUAUGGGAGAGGAUGGUAGAAUUCCAGGU
RNAcentral lists this ribosomal RNA (562 nucleotides) under uncultured bacterium. RNAcentral describes it as "bacterial SSU rRNA". It matches the Rfam family "Bacterial small subunit ribosomal RNA", at positions 119 to 674 of the family's 1533-position model. The record is from RNAcentral.